CCUACGGGUGGCAGCAGUGAGGAAUAUUGGGCAAUGGGCGCAAGCCUGAACCAGCAAAGCCGCGUGAAGGAUGAAGGAUCUAUGGUUUUUAAACUUCUUUUAUAUGGAAAUAAAGUGAGGAGCGUGUUCCUUUUUGUAUGUACCAUAUGAAUAAGCCUCGGCUAGCUCCGUGCCAGCGGCCGCGGUAGUUAGGAGGAUGCGAGCGUUAUCAGGAUUUAUUGGGUUUAAAGGGUGUGUAGGCGGAAGGUUAAGUCAGCGGGAAAAUGUCGUUGCGCAACACCGGCCUGCCGUGGAAACUGGUCUUAUUGAGUAAGAGAGAAGUAUGCGGAAUGCGUGGUGUAGCGGUGAAAUGCAUAGAUAUCAGGCAGAACUCCGAUUGCGAAGGCAGUAUACCGGCGCUCAACUGACGCUGAGGCACGAAAGCGUGGGGAUCGAACAGGAUUAGAUACCCCUGUAGUC
RNAcentral lists this ribosomal RNA (459 nucleotides) under uncultured bacterium. RNAcentral's name for it is "partial 16S ribosomal RNA". It matches the Rfam family "Bacterial small subunit ribosomal RNA", at positions 338 to 795 of the family's 1533-position model. The record is from RNAcentral.